GCUCUGCUACCUGACCUGUCUCUCUCGAGGACUGGCAAAUACUGGGGAGUUCAAAGUGGAGUUGCCCUUUAUAAGGCUCAGAGGGGAGAAGACUGGGGUGGGGACUGCAUUUUAUUGUUUUAACCUUUUCAAUGCUACCUGUCCUGUGAGAAAUGGGCAGCUACAACCCACUUGUCAUGACUGCCGCUUGAACGUUUGGAAAAAGCUACUUGCACUGAUCCAAUCUGUCCAAUCAAAAAAGCAGAAUUGAGCCAUGAUUACCAACUUGGAUUGGAUCACUGCAAUAGUCAGG
Molecule: non-coding RNA, 292 nt
Organism: Pelobates cultripes (western spadefoot toad)
Lineage: Eukaryota; Metazoa; Chordata; Amphibia; Anura; Pelobatidae
Source: the annotation of a GenBank genome assembly